This 497-nucleotide ribosomal RNA is filed under the name uncultured bacterium. RNAcentral describes it as "partial 16S ribosomal RNA". It matches the Rfam family "Bacterial small subunit ribosomal RNA", at positions 28 to 507 of the family's 1533-position model. The record is from RNAcentral.
GAUGAACGCUGGCGGCGUGCCUAAUACAUGCAAGUCGAACGCAUAGCGAAAGGUGCUUGCACCUUUCAAGUGAGUGGCGAACGGGUGAGUAACACGUGGACAACCUGCCUCAAGGCUGGGGAUAACAUUUGGAAACAGAUGCUAAUACCGAAUAAAACUUAGUGUCGCAUGACACAAAGUUAAAAGGCGCUUCGGCGUCACCUAGAGAUGGAUCCGCGGUGCAUUAGUUAGUUGGUGGGGUAAAGGCCUACCAAGACAAUGAUGCAUAGCCGAGUUGAGAGACCGAUCGGCCACAUUGGGACUGAGACACGGCCCAAACUCCUACGGGAGGCUGCAGUAGGGAAUCUUCCACAAUGGGCGAAAGCCUGAUGGAGCAACGCCGCGUGUGUGAUGAAGGCUUUCGGGUCGUAAAGCACUGUUGUAUGGGAAGAACAGCUAGAAUAGGAAAUGAUUUUAGUUUGACGGUACCAUACCAGAAAGGGACGGCUAAAUACGUG